RNAcentral lists this transfer RNA (73 nucleotides) under Moema peruensis. Its description in RNAcentral is "Aphyolebias peruensis tRNA-Asn". It matches the Rfam family "tRNA". From Rfam's summary of the family: Transfer RNA (tRNA) molecules are approximately 80 nucleotides in length. Their secondary structure includes four short double-helical elements and three loops (D, anti-codon, and T loops). The record is from RNAcentral. Lineage: Eukaryota; Metazoa; Chordata; Actinopteri; Cyprinodontiformes; Rivulidae.
UAGGCAGAUGCUCAUUGGUUUGGGCGUUUAACUGUUAAUUAAAAGUUUGUAGGAUCAAAGCCUUCCUGUCUAG